GGAAAGGGUGACAAAAAAGGUAAAAAGAAAUAAGGAAAAUUAUAAUAAGAGUCCUUUUCUCGUUUCGUUUCUUCUCUCUUU
RNAcentral lists this non-coding RNA (81 nucleotides) under Ochromonas sp. CCMP1393. Lineage: Eukaryota; Chrysophyceae; Chromulinales; Chromulinaceae. The record is from RNAcentral.